GAUGAACGCUGGCGGCGUGCUUAACACAUGCAAGUCGAACGGGAAACCUUUUAUUGAAGCUUCGGCAGAUUUAGCUGGUUUCUAGUGGCGGACGGGUGAGUAGCGCGUGGGUAACCUGCCUUAUACAGGGGGAUAACAACCAGAAAUGGUUGCUAAUACCGCAUAAGCGCACAGGACCGCAUGGUCCGGUGUGAAAAACUCCGGUGGUAUGAGAUGGACCCGCGUCUGAUUAGCUAGUUGGUGGGGUAACGGCCUACCAAGGCGACGAUCAGUAGCCGACCUGAGAGGGUGACCGGCCACAUUGGGACUGAGACACGACCCAAAUCCUACGGGAGGCAGCAGUGGGGAAUAUUGCACAAUGGGGGAAACCCUGAUGCAGCGACG
This 384-nucleotide ribosomal RNA is filed under the name uncultured bacterium. Its description in RNAcentral is "bacterial SSU rRNA". It matches the Rfam family "Bacterial small subunit ribosomal RNA", at positions 28 to 396 of the family's 1533-position model. The record is from RNAcentral.